UCAUAAGUCAAAGUUACAAGGGAAUGCACCGCCUAUGUCAAUACAUGCAGUUAGUUUACUAAUGGAGGCUAUAUUUCUUAAAGCAAGGGCACUUAAUGACCUUGGCAAAUUUGCAGAAGCAGCACGAACCUGCAAUUCAAUUCUGGAUAUGGUUGAAUCUGCUGCACCGAAUGGUUUGCCCACAAUCUUUAGAAGAGGAUGUAGAUUGCAGGACAUAGUCUGCAAAUCUGUUGAAUUACUUCCAGAGUUGUGGAAAAUGGCUGAUAAUUCUCAUGGAGCCAUUUCAUCAUAUCGCCGGGCUCUUCUUGGAAAGUGGAACCUUGAUCCCCUGAGCAUUGGAAAAAUACGAAAAGAGUUUGCAAUUUUUCUUCUUUAUGGGGGCUGUGAUUCAAGUCCUCCUAAUCAGCAUUCUCAAAUGGAUAAUUACUUUGCGCCUAAGAACAAUUUGGAGGAGGCCAUCAUUCUCUUAAUGCUUCUCUUGAGUGAUUUCAAUGAGAAGAAAGCUGAAUGGGAUCCAUCAAUAAUCGAGCAUCUUACCUUUGCGUUGUCAAUCUCGGGCCAGCUAAAACCUCUCGCGAAUCGGUUUGAGGAAUUGCUUCCAGGUAUUCUUGAUCGAAAUGAAAGAUAUUAUAAACUUGGGUUAUGUUAUCUUGGAGAGGGCGAUAUUUUGACUGCUUUGAACCUGCUGAAAAAGAUUUUCAGUGAUAGGGAGGGUCCGAACUCCGUUAAAGCGCUCUUACUAGCUUCCAAAAUUUGCGGGGAGAACAGUGCUUAUGCGGAAGAAGGUGCGUCCUUCUCGCACAGGACGCUCACUACUUUGGAUGGAAGGUGCGAAUCACUUCAAAGCGUCGCGUAUUUCUUACUAGGAAUCUCUCUUUCAGCUCAGGCAAGGUUCUCCGCUUCUGAUUCCGAAAGAAUUGCUAAAGAGGACGAAGCACUCGAGGCGCUCGAAAAUGCUGUGAAAUUUAUGCAAGUAACAGACUGCGGAGUGAUAUAUCACCUCAGCUUAGAAAAUGCGAAGCAGAGGAAGUUGGACGUUGCACUCAGUUAUGCCAAACAGCUAUUGAAAUUGGAAGCUGGAUCAAAUGUGAAUAGUUGGAUUCUUGUGGCUCGAAUAUUAUCAGCGCAGAAGAGGUUCGUUGAUGCCGAGACGAUUGUUAAUGCUGCCAUUGACCAGACGGGAAAAUGGAGCCAGGGCGAACUUCUUCGAACCAAAGCGAGAAUCCAGAUUGCGCGAGGGCAAUUACAGAAAGCCGUGGAGACGUAUACUAAUCUUCUUGCAGUGAUCCGACUUCGGAAUAAAAAUUUGGUUUUUCAAACGAAGUCUUCAAAGAUUGCUGAGGUAGAUAGAAAAUUAGAAAUGGGAGCUUGGUAUGAUCUGGCUACUGUUUAUACAAGUAUGUCCAAUUGGAGGGAUGCUGAGGUUUGCAUCUCAAAAUUGAAGGCUAUUAGUCCUUAUUCUGCUUUAGGGUGGCAUGCCACAGGACAACUUCAGGAAGCAAAGGGACUUCAUAAGGAAUCUUUAACAUCAUAUUCUAAAGCUCUUGAUUUGGAACCAACACAUGUUCCAAGUUUGGUUUCUACGGCCAUUGUACUCAGACAUUGUGGCGACAGGCCAUUUGCCGCCGUAAGAAGCUUCCUAACAGAGGCAUUGCGUCUUGAUAGAACUAACCAUGUUGCUUGGUUGAAUCUCGGUUUACUUUAUGAAGCUGAGGGUGCUUCGGCUGUCGAGGCUGCCGGUUUCCAGGCAGCUGCCGUUCUCGAAGAGUCAGCACCAGUUGAACCUUUUUUAUGAUCUCUGGAUCCAGCCAAAGGGGUGGCCUCCACAAGCGUAUCCUGGGUAGGAGCAUCCUGUGGGGGUGCUGCAGGUUGAAUAGGACUAAUGGACUGUGGAGUCUUCUCCAGAGGUGUCGUACGAGGUGGGAGUAUUUUGCCACUCCAAAGGUUAAUUUAGAAUAUAUCCUUUGUAGAAGUUGUAGCGGCAUCUAAUAAUUGUUCCAUGACCUUUGCGGCAUCUUCUUGAGAUCCUUCAGAGUCGGAAGCUUUUACCUUAGUUUAGAUAGAAUCUUCCGAACAUUUUUAAGAUCGAGUUUGAAAAAUGCGGGGAAAGGAGGACUUUUUACCAUGAAGAGAUAUCUACAAGUGAUCUUCACUUAGAAGGGCGACUCUAAUGAUGCUGCAAUGACGAGUAGACUGGAACAGGUAAAAAAUAGUAGCGCUACAGAAAUUGGAGUUGGUGGAACUUCUCAAUUUGUUGGAAUGUUGCACCAAUCUAAUGGCUAAAACACUGCACCAUCUUCAUGCGCUGCGAAUAUCUUAUAAAAUUUUAAUCAGGUUUCGAUUUCUCAUUUGCUAAUAUAGAAACAUAGUUUUUGUGAAAAGUGUUGAAAUGUUCGCCCAACUCUUUGUAGGUAGCUAUUUUAGUCUCAUGGUCUUUAAAAGAGUCAAUUUAGUGUUCCGACUUUUUUAAUAGAGGCUAAAAUAGUUCUUUUUGUGAUUUAUUUUAGCUCAUAUUAGAAGGGUCUAGAGUCUAAUUUAAUACUUUCAUAGACUCCGGGAUUAAAACAGCCCUAUGUAAAUAGUUCGGGAUUAUUUUGACACGUUUCUGCAAUUUUUUUUUUUUUUCAUAUUUUAUUGUACUUAAGUGCAAUCUUUCAGUUAUAGGACUCCAUGCUUCAAAAUGCAACAUUCAAUAAAACACAAAUAGCAUGAAACUCUUGGCCCCGACACUCAAACAUGCAGUACAGUGAUUGGAAAUAAAGUGAAAAAAUCCUAAAAUGUUGGGUUUCGGCACUCACCCUCAAAAAAUAAUGUUAAAAUAGCUUGUAAACUGCUCGUCAAGUGUGUAAAAAUACAGUUGUUGCAUAUGGCAAGAUAUAACAAAAUGUUGAGAAUGGAUUCAUCCGAGUUCAGAAAAGCAGAAGUUUGUAGCAGAAUGAGAAUCACCCAUGGCUUCUUACAUCUUUCCUCACCUUCUCAGUCUGUUGAUUUUUUCUUUUGUUUUCAGGCGCCAAGGAUGUAGUGCACUUGGAUGAAUGAGAAUCUCAACAGAGGUAAAUAUUGCAUUGUAUGUUUUUUCUGGGGCAGUUGCAUGCAUGCCACACAAUUCUUAUAUAUUUGCAUGUCUUAACACUUAAACUUUCAUAUUUACAUGCAUACUCGUUUGUCUGUAAGAGCACAUAAGAUAUAUCACUAUUUAUAAUUUUUUGAAAGUGAAAUACACAUUUUCAUCCAUAGCUUUAUA
This is an RNA transcript of Phalaenopsis equestris, 3244 nucleotides long. It is a transcript of the gene named protein NPGR2, with no coding region annotated. NCBI's taxonomy places the organism in Eukaryota, Viridiplantae, Streptophyta, Magnoliopsida, Asparagales, Orchidaceae. The record is from RefSeq and is a predicted model, not a curated record. The transcript is spliced from 7 exons.